GUGCAGUGGUGUGAUCUCGGCUCACUGUGACCUCUGCCUCCUGGGUUUAAGCGAUUCUCCUGCCUCAGCCUCCCGAGUAACUGGGACUACAGCUGCAGGAAACAGAAAAUGCACUGCCUAGAUGGACCCUCUGACUCCCCACCACCCAGGCUGGAGCGGCAGAGGCUGCCAGGAAGAGCCAGAAAACAGGUGAACCCAAGGCCACUCCCUCCCCAGCCUGAGGAACACUCUACUGGUAAGGGGAGAAAUGCCUCAAAUGAGCAUGUGCACAACUUCAGUAAACAUGCUGUGCAUGUGGCCCCUCCCAAGUGCCCGCAGGCCACCACACAAGUGGACAGCCCUGGACAGCCCGCCCCUAGGGAAGAAUCAAGGGAGGAGAAACAGAAGCCCUGGAACUGUGCUAGCAUAUAAAACCCCAAGUCAAGGGCUGAAUGGCACACUUGGAUCUCUCAAGUCACCUGCUUGGCCCCCUUCCAAGUGUAUUUACUUCCAUUUGUUCCUGCUCUAAAACUUUUUAAUAAACUUUCACUCCUGCUCU
RNAcentral lists this long non-coding RNA (538 nucleotides) under Homo sapiens (human). RNAcentral describes it as "non-protein coding LINC01732:9". Lineage: Eukaryota; Metazoa; Chordata; Mammalia; Primates; Hominidae. The record is from RNAcentral.